CCUAGCGGCGGACGGGUGAGUAAUGCUUAGGAAUCUGCCUAUUAGUGGGGGACAACAUUCCGAAAGGAAUGCUAAUACCGCAUACGUCCUACGGGAGAAAGCAGGGGACCUUCGGGCCUUGCGCUAAUAGAUGAGCCUAAGUCGGAUUAGCUAGUUGGUGGGGUAAAGGCCUACCAAGGCGACGAUCUGUAGCGGGUCUGAGAGGAUGAUCCGCCACACUGGGACUGAGACACGGCCCAGACUCCUACGGGAGGCAGCAGUGGGGAAUAUUGGACAAUGGGGGGAACCCUGAUCCAGCCAUGCCGCGUGUGUGAAGAAGGCCUUUUGGUUGUAAAGCACUUUAAGCGAGGAGGAGGCUACUAGUAUUAAUACUACUGGAUAGUGGACGUUACUCGCAGAAUAAGCACCGGCUAACUCUGUGCCAGCAGCCGCGGUAAUACAGAGGGUGCGAGCGUUAAUCGGAUUUACUGGGCGUAAAGCGUGCGUAGGCGGCUGAUUAAGUCGGAUGUGAAAUCCCUGAGCUUAACUUAGGAAUUGCAUUCGAUACUGGUCAGCUAGAGUAUGGGAGAGGAUGGUAGAAUUCCAGGUGUAGCGGUGAAAUGCGUAGAGAUCUGGAGGAAUACCGAUGGCGAAGGCAGCCAUCUGGCCUAAUACUGACGCUGAGGUACGAAAGCAUGGGGAGCAAACAGGAUUAGAUACCCUGGUAGUCC
Molecule: ribosomal RNA, 710 nt
Filed under: uncultured bacterium
Lineage: Bacteria
Description: bacterial SSU rRNA
Rfam family: Bacterial small subunit ribosomal RNA
Source: RNAcentral